CACCGGGCUGUGAGAAGGGGAUGCAGGAACCCACCUCGGGGCGGGGUGGGGGGGAUAAGGAGGUUAGAGCAAGGCCUAGGGCUUGUGAUGAGGGGGGAGGAGGGGGAAGUGUGAUAGAAAAGUCAAGAAAGGGGGGGAGCAGCCGGGAAAGGUGAGAGACAGAGAAGCCCUGGAGCAAAACCUUUGUCCCGCAGUGGAUGGAUUCUAGAAAACCCGGGACCAGUUGGGGUGGAGAACUACGGCUGGAGAGUCAACUCUUGGAACUGAUUGGGGUUGAACCAACAGAUCCCCCAGGUUGAACCCCUCCGCCCGGCUGAAUUUAGCAGCAGAAGAGAUAACUGGGAGAUAAGGGCUGAUACCCGGCAGGACAGCAGGAGAGCGGCCGAGGGAAGGGGGAGAAGCUGGAGGCCGAGUCCUGCAGUGCUUCAGGAGCUGCAGCCGCCUGCCCAGAUGCGCCUGGUUCGGAUUCCCGUCUCUCCUUCUCCUUGCAAGAUCCCCCGGAUUUCCCCUACCAGAGAAGCCCUGUGUUGAAUUCCUAGAGCACAUCGCCUCUUCCUUUUCUUUUACUUUUACGAAAGAGAAGAAUUUCGAUGGAAAACGGUAACAGCACCGCCAGGAGCUGAGAUCUCAACGAGCGCCUUUAGUUUUGCCUUUCCAAAUGACAACGAAACAGCCCCACAAAAAGCAGAACCCGGACCCACGUCCCUGUGCGGGCAAAGCCCCGCAGAGCCGAGCAUCGAAAACGGGGACGAGAAGCGGGGGUUGAGGGGGGGGGAGAGGGAAACAGCUCUCGUCGUACCCCCCAAAAGUUGAUAUAUCUGAAUCAUUAUAAUUAAAAUCGAAAGCUGAAGUUGGGGAUGUGGCGGAGAGCGGGGAAAAUCAAACGAUCAAUUCACGAGGAAAUCAAUAAAUGAAGAAGUCAGUCUCGGAUUGAAUCGCUGCGAUUGCGGGGCGAAACGAAAUCACGGAGCCGCAAACGAAAAACGGGGCCGGACGGCGAUUCGGGCAACGAACCGCGUCCUUCCCACGCCGCUCCUCACCCGGGGGCGGUCGGUGGCCGCUCCGGGGCCGUUUUCUCCCGCAUGGGAACGGGGGAUGCGAACAGCGAGAGGGAUCGGGGCUGCGGACGGAGAGCGAACUCAUUUCCAAGCUGCUUCACGGGACCGCGCUGAGAAUUGUUUCAAAAUCGCUCACACGCACACAAAUAAAAAUGUUUAGAGAGGAAACGAA
This is a long non-coding RNA of Coturnix japonica (Japanese quail), 1230 nucleotides long. RefSeq lists it as uncharacterized. Lineage: Eukaryota; Metazoa; Chordata; Aves; Galliformes; Phasianidae. The record is from RefSeq and is a predicted model, not a curated record.